This 447-nucleotide ribosomal RNA is filed under the name uncultured bacterium. Its description in RNAcentral is "partial 16S ribosomal RNA". It matches the Rfam family "Bacterial small subunit ribosomal RNA", at positions 29 to 523 of the family's 1533-position model. The record is from RNAcentral.
AACGAACGCUGGCGGCAGGCUUAACACAUGCAAGUCGAACGCCCCGCAAGGUGAGUGGCAGACGGGUGAGUAACGCGGGGGAAUCUACCGUACCCUACGGAACAACAGUUGGAAACGACUGCUAAUACCGUAUACGCCCUACGGGGGAGAGAUUUAUCGGGGUAUGAUGAGUCGGCGUGGGAUUAGCUAGUUGGUGGGGGAAAGGCCUACCAAGGCGACGAUCCGUAGCUGGUCUGAGAGGAUGAGCAGCCACAUUGGGACGGAGACACGGACCAGACUGCGACGGGAGGCAGCAGUGGGGAAUAUUGGACGAUGGGCGCAAGCUUGAUGCAGCCAUGCCGCGUGAAUGAUGAAGGUCUGAGGAUUGUAAAGCUCCUUCACCGAUGAAGAUAAUGACGGUAGUCGGGGAAGAAGCCCCGGCUAACUUCGUGCCAGCAGCCGCGGUAA